AACGAACGCUGGCGGCAUGCCUAACACAUGCAAGUCGAACGAGACCUUCGGGUCUAGUGGCGCACGGGUGCGUAACGCGUGGGAACCUGCCCUUAGGUUCGGAAUAACUCCCCGAAAGGGGUGCUAAUACCGGAUAAUGUCUUCGGACCAAAGAUUUAUCGCCUUUGGAUGGGCCCGCGUUGGAUUAGCUAGUUGGUAGGGUAAAAGCCUACCAAGGCGACGAUCCAUAGCUGGUCUGAGAGGAUGAUCAGCCACACUGGGACUGAGACACGGCCCAGACUCAGACGGAGAGAAGGGGGGGGGAAUAUGGAACAAGGGGGAAAGGCUUGACCCAGCAAUGCCGGGGGAGGAAGGAGGCCUUUGGGGUUGAAAAGCUUUUUGACCCGGGAGAAAAAUGAGAGGACGGGAAAAAAAGCCCCGGGCAAACCCCGGC
This 433-nucleotide ribosomal RNA is filed under the name uncultured bacterium. RNAcentral describes it as "partial 16S ribosomal RNA". It matches the Rfam family "Bacterial small subunit ribosomal RNA", at positions 29 to 508 of the family's 1533-position model. The record is from RNAcentral.